This 549-nucleotide unclassified non-coding RNA is filed under the name Hevea brasiliensis (rubber tree). Lineage: Eukaryota; Viridiplantae; Streptophyta; Magnoliopsida; Malpighiales; Euphorbiaceae. The record is from RNAcentral.
CUUCAGGAGAGGUUAACUGCUGGGGAUGAUCCUAUCACUGCUUUUAUUCUCUCAUCUGAAGCAGCGGUGGCUGGAGCUGAAUCAACCAGGNCACAUGCAGGCACAGGCUGGUCGCUCUACCUAUGUCUCUACAGAGAUCCUUGCUUCCGUUCCAGAUCCUGGAGCUAUGGCUGCAGCUUCAUGGUACAGAGCAGCAGCUUUAGCCAUCAAGAACAAAGUCGAGCCUUCAUAAGCUGAUGCAUCUAAUUCUCUUCGCAAUUCACGGUUCGAUUUGGCUGCUGCAGGUAUAACGAAGCUAAUUUUUUUGUGAUGAUUGGAAUCUGUUUGUCUAGCUUGGGCUUCCCGCAUAUGCAAAUUUUGUGCAAAGUUGAGAAAGCAAGUUUCAUUUUUGAAAUUUCUAUGGAAAAUGUAAAUUUCAAAUAACAAUGAAAUCUUCAAAUUUCGUGUUUCAAAAUCUUGGUUGUAAUACUGGCUUCGGUUGGUCUCUGAUGGAUCUCAAUGGAUUUAAGAACUUGUUGGGCCAACCGAAGCCAGUAUUACAACCAAGAU